GCCCCAAAGCACCCCCCUGUCCCACCGCUUACGUGCAUCCUUCAGGCCGAGCGGUGAAAACAUCCGAAGCCAAGACAGCCGGCGAUACGAGUGUUGCUGCUCUUUGACCGGGAGAGGACAGCGAGGUCAAGGCGUGUUUAUACAAAUCAGUUCAACAGCUGUAAGAAAACAAAGCAUGAAGCUCUGAAGAUACAUUGUUUCACCACUGAAGGAAGGAAUAAAAGACAUCAUCAUUCAAAAAUGUUUCUGAAUUGGCAACUUACAUCCGUUAGUCAGUAUACAGAUAUUUCUGUAAGGAGAAAUCAAGUUUUAAUUUGGUGAUCCUGCCUACUUCAAGAUGUGAUGUGACAAACCAAUAGGAACUGUGGAUUCCCCAUCACAAUUUGGCCUUAGUUUUCCUCUUAACUAACUUCUUAAUAUCUCCCAUUGGUUCUAAAUAUAUUGAAUACUCAUCAUUGACUGGAAUAUUUGGACAUAUCCAAAGUUCAGUUGAUUUGCUUGUUAUCUCCUCGACGUUAUGUGUAACUCAUUGUAUUCUGACCUUCAUUUAUACCUUAUCAGGGGCACCAGCCUUAGCCUUGCUGGUGUAUGCAAGGCUAUUUCAGCAACCAAAUAGCUUGAGACCCUGCAGAUCUAAUACCAAUUCCCUCUUUGGUACAAGUCUAUGUCCUACUGUGUGUUUGAAUCAUAUUUAUCCUACUAGUUUCCUCUUGCCAGAAAUGGGAGAGAUCGGUUGGACAGCUCAUCCAUUGCUUUCCUCCAACUCAGCUUGUUAAUGUCAAGGCUUCCCUCCAUCUCAGCUGGCUGUCAACAGGAUUUCCUCCAACUUGGCUUGAAACUAAUCAUUGUUCAAAAUGUUCCAGCAGAAUCUUCAGCAAAACAAGCAGUACUAUGAUUUUAGGAAGAUUUUCAUUAAAAAAAAAUCCAUUAUGUAUAGUGAAAGUUCAAUGACCUACUUUAAAGAAACAAAUUUAGGCAUGUCCUUGAAGCAACAUUAAAUGUGCUUGUAGCACUACAGUGGUCCUCCAGUGAAAAAGAAAUCAAUCAGCUGAAUAAAAUGGAGAAAGUAAUCAGAACAAGGAAUUAAGGCAUCCACAGUCAAGAGAUACUAAAUAAAGUUUUACUUCCGGGAAUAGUUGGACCUGAACAAAAUUAAAAAUAAUUUAUAGGGGACUGUGGUAUAUUUUAUGGUUUUAUUCCUAUAAAAGUAAAGGCCUUUAAGAUUAAUGUGCCUGAUAUGAGAAUUUCUGGGGAAAGUUAUAAGUAAACUUGAUUGCAUAAAGUGUGUAUAUAAACCAUGUUGUUAAUAGUAACGAUUUUGUUUAAUUUAUUGCACAUACAUAAAAUCUAUGUUUUUUUUAAAAUGUAAAAUCUUAUUAAAAUGUGGUAUAUUUCUAUUGUUU
Non-coding RNA from Chiloscyllium plagiosum (whitespotted bambooshark), 1403 nucleotides. NCBI's taxonomy places the organism in Eukaryota, Metazoa, Chordata, Chondrichthyes, Orectolobiformes, Hemiscylliidae. The record is from RefSeq and is a predicted model, not a curated record.